CUGUGCCCACCUGUAAAAGGAUGCUAGGAUGGGUGUGAGACCACAAAGGCAAAAGAUAGAAUGUUCCAAAAGGAGAGCAAAACCUCCUUGAAAGCAAAGAGAGGGAGAGAAAAAUACACUGCGGGAUGAUGUGUACGUAAGUGCGUGAGAUUCCAAAGGGCAUUUCACAAGACUUAGCGUGCAAAUAAUAGCGACCUUAGGCUGAUGCGUUCUUGGUCUCGGAGUCUUUGGCUCUCUAGCAUCCAAGCCCACAACAAGAACAAGAAAAGCUAGUUCAGAGCCAGAAGAACUUCUGGGUGGCUGGUCUCUUCACUGAGGUAUUUAACUAUACCUGUGAUCUUUUAGUUUCUUUAGAUGGACAUGUCUAUGGAGUUAGUUUUCAUCUUCUUCCUUCCUUUUUCUCCUUUAGUGGUUUUUGAUGGAAAAUGCACCAAAAGCAAAGCAUUCUGUGUGGUGAAUUGCUAUGAAUCAAGGAAAUUUAAGUAGGAUAAUCUAGGUUCAUUUUGAUGAAAGCUCGCAAGCCUUGGGGUUCUUAUAGAUGUAAUAGGGGCCCAUCAUGCUUGCCAGUAACUAAAGCCAGACUCAAAUGACUCAUAAAUGCAGAAGAAGUAGAAGAAGAUGGAUCCAUAGGAAUUGUUAGAAACAAGCAGAUUGUUAAGCAUGUCUGGCCAGUCUCGAAAUUAUAUUCUAAAAAUAGUGCCUCAGGGAUUUUAUUUUUACUCCUUGUAUUAAACUUCUAAAAUGAGUGAAAAUAAAUCAUUUUCUUUGGUAUCCAUUUAGCUUCUGCAUCAUCUUCUAUCCUUUUAGCCAGCAACCAUAUUAAUCCACUGAGAUCUUAGCUUAUUUCAGUUCACUUUACCUUAUAAGAAAUGCUAGAAAGCAAGGCUGGCUCCUAUCUCUAAGGUUAAUGCCAGCAUGGUUCGUCACAUCAAAUGGACCCUCACACAACUCAUACUUGGUCUCCUCUUCCUGAGGUUUUGCUCUUUAUUAUAAACAAUAAGAAGUUCCAUUGCUUCUCCAUGAAUGACCUUUCCUAGAGCAUUUAUAUCCUACAAGAUUCAUAAGAAACACUUCUAUCACUUAUCUAUACAAUUCCACCCUCAUUUGCUUUCUUGCAAGGGAGAAACCUUGCAAUAGUAUAUUGAAUAGACUAGGAGGUAAGAAGUCCAAUUACUCUACAGUAGCAAUAGAAGGUGAGCUGUUCUUGCAUUGUUCAAAAAUCUUCACUCAAAAGAAUCAUUGAACCAAUGUGCUACGAUACUAUUGGCCCCCUUUUUGGACCGACAACCAUAUGGUUGUUAGCCAGAUUAACAAUAGAAAAGCAGUACUAGCUUAAUUCAGAAUUCUCACUUGGAGGAGUCUCUCGAGUGGCUCUGUGUUUUAUUGGUCCUUUAUGAACUGUCAACUAUACAGGCGGCUAACCAUAAGAGAAAUGGAUGGGCCCCAAUUAAGUGUAGGUGAGGGAGAAAAGCAGGGCUAUCCUAAGAGUAAGGGGGUUCAGCAGCCUUUAGUUCUGUUCCUCAAGGUUAGGUGCCCCUGUUGUGCUGAUGACAAAAUAGAGGUUAAAAUAUGUCCCUUGCGUUAAAGGCAAAGUGUAAGAUUUUGGCCCCAAAAUGUGGUGAUGGUGGGGUUGCUGGGAUACCAUCAUUUCUUUUGGAACAAGACUUCUUUGAUGCAGGAGGACUAUCAAAUCUGUUAUGAAUCAUUAGGCUACUCCAAGUAUAAUUAGAUCUAAGAGCAAGAUCUAUCAUAUCCAAUAUUGAUUUGUACAUCAAACAUUAUGGAAGGUAUAACUUUUAUACAUGGCAUCUACUUUGCAAUAUAUAUAUAUAUAGACAGAAAAGGAGAGAAAUAGAAGUUUUCCCAUUCCUCACCAAAUUUUAUUGAAACUUACAAUGUAAUUUUUAUAAGAUUAGGUAAUUCCAGGAUGUGACAAUCUAUUAAUAGGUUACUCACUUUGCGUGACCCCAUUCCAAGACCACUUAGACCUCUGAAAUAUCUAUAGAAUCAAAUUUUAUUAUUUUUUAAAAUUUUGGUUGGGCUUCGUCUUCUGAUCCAAGAGGAAUUAUGUUGCAAUAGAAGAUAAAAUUGUUGUAGGUCUAUCUUUAGGAAGAUUCUAGCUAGAAGAGAACUUUGACUUGGAUUCUAAAAGGACAAAACCUCACUACUACAAAUAUAUGAGCUAUGUAAUAGUGUUAAUUAUUUUUAAUAAAAAAGCUUACAGCCUAGUUUUAGAUAUUUCUAAUAUUUUUAUUAUUUUACUCUAAAAUAUUCGAGUUAAAUAUGUUGACAAAAACUCUUUCUUCUCUUCGAUUGGAUUAGUCUUUCAGAUAGAAAAAUAUGUCAAUCACAUGAGUUAAAGCUGAUUAGCUAUAGCUUGGCAUUGCAUUCACCGUUAUAGAAAACUCAAAUUUGUAAACUAAUUUAUAUUUAACUCAAGUGGGUAUAUAAAUUCAUAAAUUUCCACAAGUAAGCUAUGAUCGGAAACAUAAGGAUUGUUAAUACCUAAAGAAUAAAUACUUAUUUGACUAGACAUCACAUGGCAUGCAACCCUUGCAGUCAAGAUGUAGUGCAAUAUUUUGAGAAACUUACUAAAUUUAAAAUAUCAUGUAUUAAGUUAUCCUUGUGACACGAUGAUAAUUUGUACUUAUGUCCCUCCUCUUAAAAAGUAAUAUAUAUAUUGAUACUUGGGACAAAUAAUCUUGCAUUAUUUAGCUCAUUAUUGAAAUGCUUAGUGUAUAUUAUUUUUUAAGGUUUGAUCAAAUAUUAGAGAAAUACUUUCUCCAGAAAAAGCAUUUUGUAAAACAUAUUUAUACCAUAGAAUUGUUUUAAUUAAAAUAAAUUUAUCGAUUUUUUUUGGCAAAAUAGUAGUGCUAAUAAUAAUUCAUGUAAUGUUAACAGAUCACUUUCUUUUUACUUAGUGUAUCCGCUGUUGUUCGCUGUUGUACCUCUCAAGUGUUUGUCUCACAUUCUUAGCAGCAACCCUGUAUGACCAAUAGAUUACAACAUAUUACGUCAGUGUGAAGUCACUAGAACACCUAGAAAUGGUUUUGAUCAUCUUACAGUCGCUAGAAAUAGUUCUAACCAUGCUAAAUCAUUUCAAAGUGUGAUUUUUUUUGGUAAAAAUCUCAAAGUGUGAUUUAAUAAUGCAGUCAAGGUCACGUUUUAAUGAAAAUAGAGGAGAAAGACGUAUGAAAUAUGGAGAACAAUAAAUACAAGAAAAAAUUUUUAUUCUAGAGAUUUAAUUCUAUAUCAAAAAUAGACUACCUACAAUAUUGGUUGUAGGCUUUAUUUACACAAAAAAAAGCCUAACUUGAUGCUUAAGCUAUCUGAAAUAUUUUAGGUUUAUUCUGAAUACAAAAAAGAUAAAAAUUAAAACUUCCAACUUGCUUAGGAUCUUUCGGACUCUUGUUGAUCUGUCAAAUGAAAGAAUUUGGCUCCAAAACUAGGCUAUAAUGGCAAAGUGGUUGGCACAUAGAGGAUGAAAAAAACUUUCCAAAUUAGAAUUUUAUAGAUAAUUGUAAUACCAUAUGAGAGAUUUAUGUCCAUUUUAGCAUGGUAAGAUCAAAACCACAGGCAUAAUCAAUCUGAUUUCUUAUCUUUCAGGCCCAGUCCAUCAAAUUAAGGUAUUUACCAACUAAGGUAUCUACGUCAUCUUCCUCAGGUUGAAAAGAACUUGCCUUCGAGUUAGAAAUCUCCUUUUUCUCUAACAAAUCACCUAUAUAGGGAACCAAGUAUUUUACAUUGAACACAUCAGAUAUACGAAGAUGACUAGGUAAUCAACCGCACUUCUUAGUGUUAGCAUAUAACUUCUCCCUCAUCAGUGGGUCAAGAACCUCCAUAAGAUACUACAGGUGAGCUUCCAAAGUAAGGCUAUAAACGAGAAUAUCAUCGAAAUAAAUAACAAUAAUUUUAUCGACAUAAGAUUGCAACACAUGGUUCAUCAACCUCAUGAAAGUACUUGGUGCAUUGGAAAGUCCAAAUGGCAUCACCAGCCACUCAUACAGGCCCUCUCUCAUCUUGAAGACUAUCUUCCACUCAUCCUCAGGCCGAAUGCACAACUAAUGAUAGCCACUCUUCAGGUCAAUCUUUGAAAAGUUCUUGGCUCUAGCAAGCUGAUCAAGCAUAUCAUCUAGCCUCAAAAU
Molecule: long non-coding RNA, 4145 nt
Filed under: Elaeis guineensis (African oil palm)
Lineage: Eukaryota; Viridiplantae; Streptophyta; Magnoliopsida; Arecales; Arecaceae
Description: long non-coding RNA (EGUI_LNC036414)
Source: RNAcentral